Molecule: ribosomal RNA, 498 nt
Filed under: uncultured Bacteroidota bacterium
Lineage: Bacteria; Pseudomonadati; Bacteroidota
Description: bacterial SSU rRNA
Rfam family: Bacterial small subunit ribosomal RNA
Source: RNAcentral
UCGAGGGGCAUCGGGAUGUAGCAAUACAUAGCCGGCGACCGGCGCACGGGUGCGUAACGCGUAUGCAACCUACCAUAUACAGGGGGAUAAUCACUCGAAAGGGUGUCUAAUACCCCAUAGUAUAAUAAAUCUGCAUGGAAUAAUAAUUAAAGAUUUAUUGGUAUAUGAUGGGCAUGCGUGACAUUAGCUAGUUGGAGAGGUAACGGCUCACCAAGGCAACGAUGUCUAGGGGUUCUGAGAGGAAGAUCCCCCACACUGGUACUGAGACACGGACCAGACUCCUACGGGAGGCAGCAGUGAGGAAUAUUGGUCAAUGGGCGAGAGCCUGAACCAGCCAUGCCGCGUGAAGGAAGACGGCCCUACGGGUUGUAAACUUCUUUUAUAUGGGGAUAAACCUACUCUUGCGAGAGUAGCUGAAGGUACCAUAUGAAUACGCAUCGGCUAACCCCGUGCCAGCAGCCGCGGUAAUACGGAGGAUGCGAGCGUCAUCCGGAUUCA